UGAAAGUUUGAAUCUAGCUUUUUAAUCAGUUUUCUACUAAGAAUAAAAUGCAUGUAAAACUUAAUUUUUCCCAGAAACAUUAAAAAAAACAACGUAAAUCUGUUUAUUUCUUUUUCUGCCAACAGCAAUAAAUAUUGUGAAGCCAUUUAACAGAUGGGCCCAACUAUAGUAGAACAGAGUAGGGCACGCUCGAUGCCAGCAGCCGCGGUUAGAUCUACUUACUCAAGCUGAUAACCCCGGAACAAGUGAAACUCACUUAUCUUCUUUAUUUUCACCAUUUUAAAACUGACUUAAAACUAACUUCACUUAGGAAUAAAAUCCAAAUCAACAUUUUUUACUCAACUCUUCUCAAAACAAAUUUUUCACGAAAGUCUACAUAAAAACAAGGAUUAGAGACCCUUCUAUUGUUGACUAUAAACUAUAACAUCCAGGACAUUAUUGUCACAUGACAUAAACCCAAAGAUCUUGGCGGUAUCUUACACUACUCAGGGGAGCCUGUUAUCGAAACUGAUGAUCCGCAUUACUCCUUACCUUUUCUCGACUAUCACAGCUUAUACAUCGCCGUCGAAAAUUUACCUCAAAAAGUAUAAUAGUAUUAGGUUAUGUGAAUUUACUCUUCCUUACGUCAGGUCGACAUGUAGCUAAUGAAAAGGAAUAAUGGGCUACAAUUCUACAAAGUAAUGGAACUUCUAUUAAAACAGAAGACCAAACUGGACUUGAAAGUAAAUUAAGUUCUAAACACUUAAUUGAAUAUGCUAACUAAGAUGUGUACAAAUCGCCCGUCGCCCCCGCCGAAAGGUGGGGUAAGUCGUAACAUAGUAGGCGUAGCGGAAGCUGUGCCUAAAAUUCA
RNAcentral lists this non-coding RNA (850 nucleotides) under Phascolosoma scolops. The record is from RNAcentral. Lineage: Eukaryota; Metazoa; Annelida; Sipuncula; Phascolosomatiformes; Phascolosomatidae.